UUUCAUAUCCAGAACAAAUUCAUUUUUCUCUCGAUAUAUAUAAAAUUUCAAAUCCAAAAUACCAUGAAGAAUGGACAGUCCCGUCCGUCCAAGGCACCACAAAUAAAUCCACGAACAAAUUCAGUGAGAGAAAAUUUUCAAAAAGAGUUGCAUAUAUCGAGAGAAAAAUGAAUUUGUUCUGAACAGUUACUACUGGUACUGCGAUUUGCAGUUAGUAUGGUCCUCGCCAUGGAUUUGAUGGAAAAUGAUGAUUCGAGGCUGGUUGGCGAUUAUCAAAUCCAACUAAUUUACUUGAAGACGUUGCCAUGGCCGGUUUCAUCGACUGGGCGACAUUGCUGAGUCAGUAUCUUUUGUCCUCUUCUGUUCUUCUUUUCUUAGUUAAUGAAAUUACUUUUGAGCUCUGUAUCACGGUGAUUAUGUAACUGUACCAAUUUGGGAAUUCUAUGUUUUUUACUGUCUAGAUGUUUUUUUCCAAAUUUUUUUGACAAAAAUAAUUUCUGAUAAUGGAUUGGGAUUAGAGGUGGUUUUAUUUCUGCAUAUGGGUUUGAUUAUGUAAAGUAUUUUAGUUUGUUUUAUAUAUCUAAAUACGGUCAAAUUAAUGAAGUCGAUAUACCACGUCGGUAGUCAAAGCAUAUAUCUCUGCAAAAAGUUUGCCAGAGGAGCGCAUUGAUCAUUAUUUAGGGUAUGAAAGAAUUGGGUCUAACAUUGUGUUCAAGUUUACCGGAUGGACUGUAUGGAGUGAUGAUAACAUUGAGUUGGUGAUUGCAGAGAAAUGAAAAUUCAUGUAGUCCUUUUCUAUGUUUAACCUAUUAAACGAGCAUGCCAAAAUUUACCCCCUCCAUCUUACUACAGACGUUGUCAUAGUUGAGUUUAAUAGGUCUCCAAAUGGCAAUUAAUUAAGAUGGUAAUUAAUAUGUGUGGAUCAGGAUUCAGGGCAGUUGCUACUUGUUGUUGGACUAAUAGGGUGAACUAUUUUGAGCCUAAUGUACAUGUCAGACACAACAUAUUCUGGUGGAUAUAGGUUGUAUUAGACAAGCGUGCAGCUGGAGAUGUUUGCAGCUAUCAUUUUGGACAAGACACGAAUAUGACUUCAAAGUUCCUUUGGAUGCUUGCUUUGUUUACCUUGUGGAGAUGUGAAUUAUUGGACCUGAUUGAGGUUUAGAUUUUCAAAUACCAUCUUGUAUACAUCUCCUAUACCAUAUAAAAUUAGACAGAUCCCCUGGACAUAUAAUACCCACAUCUGAUACAUGUAGCUAGCUAUUUGUGAUUUUUAGACUGGGUUUACUGAGGAAUUAUAGAAGAAAGGAGUGAUUGACUGGAUUUUACAAGAAUUCAGACUCUACUAGGGUCAAUUAGAGGUUCAAAUUACUCUCUUUUUUGGUUUUUCAUUACUUGGCCCCUGUUUAUCUAUUGUAGUGGUGAUUCCCGUCCAUUAAAAUAUCACCCGUGUAUCACGGCUCAAAAGAGCAAAGUCGUUCUUGAGCACGGGCGCUGGCCCCCGAUCAGAGGGGCCCUGUUGGGCCAUGAUACUUUUUAUUAUCGGACCGGAUCUAAUGAGUUCUUCCCUUGGAUUAUGUUACUUUUGUCUUGUUGGGCCGAAUGAUUUGGGCCCAAUCAUUUGAUUACGAUUAGUGGGUUAUUUCGGCUGGAUCCGGUCAGUCUGGAUCAUCUUUAUUGUAUUGGGCCAAAUCCUUGGAUCGAUCCAUUACACAAAUUACCACUUAACCCAUCUUUGACCAGUAAUCAUUACAUAAGAUAGUAGUUGACUGUUAUCUGCCACCUUUCCGCAUGGCAUUAAUGAGGAUGAGACUCAAAUGACCGGCGGUGGCAAACAGUAGUAGCAGGUAGGGAGGUGAGCUACUUGCUUUCGGCUGAAAUGACCGGGAGUGGGGGGGAGAUGUCAGGAGAUAGUGGGUGGCACGGUAAACUGGGCCUGGGGUACGUAUGAGGCAAGGAUCACACAAGAAAGGUAAGUAACAAAACAUUAUACCAUACGCAAUCGGAUUAUGAUUCUCUCUCAAGCACUAGACGUUAUUUUUCCUCCAUUGUUAACCUUGUGAUCGCCUGUACUGACUCUCACGCCGGAGCUAUCCCCCGACGGUCCAAGCCGUCAAGCUUCUGGUGUUGACUGUGUUUAUUGUGCAGGAUCAGAACGUCUUACGUGAUUGGGACGUGGCAGAAGAUCUUGGCGUUAANNNNNNNNNNNNNNNNNNNNNNNNNNNNNNNNNNNNNNNNNNNNNNNNNNNNNNNNNNNNNNNNNNNNNNNNNNNNNNNNNNNNNNNNNNNNNNNNNNNNUUGUUGUAGUCGAAGUUCUCAUAUAUUUUAUUGUAGUCGAACUAUUACUCCAUCCUAUUCAGAUUAAAUGACGUUUUAGGGAGUUUAAUUUUAUUCUAUAUAAGUGUCGUUUUGGAAUCUCUAUGCAAUAUUGCACUAUUUUUUUCUAAUUUACCCCUCUAUUUAAUAUGCUUAGUAAAUGCAAUUGUGGAGAGAUAAAUAAUUAAUUAGGGAUAAUUGUGGAGAAUGAGAAGAGACAAUUGUGGAGAGAGAAAUAAUUAAUUAGGGACACAAAAGACAUUUUGUGUUAUUUUUUAAUAAGUGUGCUUAACUCUAAAAUGAUAUUUAAUCUGAAUAGGAGGGAGUAUGUUUUAAGCUCCGAAAAUACACUUUUUUAGAUACAAUUUAUACUUUAUAUUUAUUUAGUUUUACCUUUAUUUUUGAGUGAUUGACAAUGUUUUGAAAAGGGUCUCGUUUUCAAUUUUUUUCUUAGACCACCAAAAUCUCAGGAACGGUUUUGCAAAAGAGUGAAAUAGCACAGCUGAAAGGUUGGUUAGGAAGAGAUAGGUUAAUAUCAUAGUACAGGGUAUGGUUGUUGCAACAUAAAAGUUAGGUAUAUUUAUCAGUUGAGGUGUGAACGUGAUGGUCAAGAACCUCUCCCUGUAUUGAGGUAAGAUUUCUUACAUCUGACCGUUCCCACGUCGGGUUAUUUGUGGGAGCCUUUGCACACAGUACGAAACAUUGAAAAUUUUGAGGUUGUAUUAAUAAUUGAUGAGCAAUAAAGGCUUUGGAGUUCCCAGUCCUCUCUAUAUUUAAUACUACCAAAUCCCAUGUUCAGCUUGCGUCAUUAUAUUCUCUUAUGAGCUCACUUAGUCACGGAUCCCCAUGAGCCCUAUUAUUCUAAAAAAGUGGGAAAGAUGUAUGCUUUUCCAAUGCAGAUUUAAUUAGUAGUACUAAAAAUGUCUUUUUAGAAAUUGUUAGUUCCAACUGCCGGAGGGAAUCUCCAUCAUCAACACAAGUUUUUGAAGAAAAACGAAAAACUAAUCUACAGUUCUUGCACAACUGAUUAAUCAAGCUCAUUGAGGAGUAUAGUUUUUCAGGCAUCAAAAUCUAUUGGAUAUGUUACAUUAAUGUAUUCUCAAAAUGUGCAACUCCUCUGCAAGUUCUCUGCUCACUUACAUGGAAGUUACACUUUAAUCUAAAUCUAAAUACAUAGAGAUUAACAAAAAACAAGCUCUUUGCAAGCCCCCCACCUUCUUUAUGGGAUUUCAGAAAUUUUGUUUGGGUUUGAAAUUAAUGAACCCAAUUAGAUCCAUCUAGCAGAUUGAAGGGGGAGAGUAGGAAUUAAGGAUAUAUUAGAUACUCCCUUAGCUUGCUCGAGCUAUCAAUGCUUCUUCGUCUAUUUCUGUCAAGAAUCACCAUGUUUGUCCCAGCGGACAAGCAUGGUGAUGCAGCGCUUAACAAUGUAAAAUUUGGCCUUCUGUUCCUUGGCCAAGUUGCCACAUUUUCGCGUGAAAUUAGAGCACUUCUGCGAAGAGCUCCUUGAUAGUGAAGAUUUGACUGAAGAGUUUUUACUUGAGAAACUUCUCAGGAGGGAGGACUUGGAGUUGGAGGUCUUCUGGGAAAUACUCCUCAUUAGAGAUGACUUUGAAGAAUUACUAUAAGAAUGAUGGCUACUUGAUUCACUCUUUGAUAAUUUCGACUUCUCGUCCAUGUAGUACUCCAUACCAACUUUAUCAAGUGACCUAGUUCCGAUUCCUUCAAUAUAUAUUAUAUAUAUAUAUAUAUAUUUAUAGACUGAGGACGAUAGACCUGUUGGAGGAGAAGUUGGAGAUACUAUUUAUAAUAGUUUAGGGACAUUGGUUGGAGGAGAUUGCAAGUGGAUGUUGACGAGUGUUUCUUUAACAAUGGCAGCAUCACAUGUGGAGGCCUAUGACCAACUGUCUAGUCUGAUUACAUGAUCAUGAACUCCUACUGUCCCAAAACUGAGUCCCAUUAUGGAAUAUGAUCAGGGUCUCAUUUUGGGACAGAGGGAGUACACUUUUUUUUUACUGCUAUUUGGCAUUAGGCAUUUGGGUGAUAUAUACCCUUGUUGUAUGUGGUUUCUUUUCUCACUUAAGUGUCCUCUCGGUUCCUGAACCUCUGUAUGGAGAUCCAUCAAAUUCUUAUGGAGAUGUGAUUCCAUACGAUCUUACUGUUAAAAUUUCUAUAUUCUAUCACCCUUAAAUGUUACAAGAGUGUUACACACUUGCACCAGGAAUUCUUUGGAGAAAUUAGUAGAUGGCAAAUUUAACAGCUAUUUGAAUAUAAAAAAUAAAGAUAAAAAUUGCUGAAUCCAGUAAAAUUAGUACAGAAGGUCGGUGGUCAUUAAACAAUUGUUAGUGAAGGUCAAGUAUUAUUUUUAUCUUUCUAUAAACAUAACAUGAAAUAUGAAUGGAGCCGAGACCUAAUGUUUAAUACUACUAAUAUGUGAAGCACCGACUCCGGUUCUCUCCCAACAAUGUAUAUGUUCCGCACAUUUUGCAAUACAGCAAAAGGGGCCUAUUUUACAGUGCCUCUGAGAGAACAGGAGAAUCCGAAGGUAUUCAAAGUGUAUAUUUUUGUGCCGAGUUUGCAGUCUUCUUGAGGUAAAAUUUUAAAUAUAGAUAAAUAAUGCUCUUUCUUUGACUCUGAUAUGCUACUCCGUAAUGUUGGAAAUACAAAUUUUAACUGCAUGAAUUAUUUUAUUUUUAAAAAUACAUUGUUAUAUAUCUGAAGUACAAGUAGAAGAUAUAUGUCAAUUAUUUAAACAUGGUAGUAUGGACAAUACCGUUCUGAAUAUGGUGAGUUGUACAUUUUGUUUUCUUUGAUUGGACUGUACCAUUACCACUAUCCCAUGUAAGGUAUCCUAUCCUAUCCUAUGGUUUAGAUUUGGUAAUCCUCAUUUUGAUUCCUCAAUUUUUACUCCCUUGUAAAGCUAGUUACUUUUAUUUUAACCAUUUUCGCCAUCGACUUUAAAGCGUGCUAAAAACAUAUAUAUUUAUUCUUGGCAGGAUAAUUAUGUCUUGUUAAGGCUAUUCAUAACCACCCCAUUAUCUAACUAAUGCUAAGCUAUAGGAUUACUGCAUUUAGAUUGAUGGAAUGGAAUUGAGAUUGGAAUGAGUUAUUCCAUGCUCUCCCUCCUUCAAGACCCUUAUGGUUCAAUGAUAAAAAAAAACUACUCAUAAGACUUUGGACAUGGAAUCUUGGGCAAGAAUAUUAAAUUUCAGUCGAAAAUAGCAAAAAAAAAAUAUUCAAUCCAUUCUAAUCGCAAUCAAGCAUAAUUUUUUUCAUUCCAUAAGAAUGAGUCAUUUCAUUCUUAUCUUUAUUACUUCAAUUCAAACCUUAAGUGGAGACAAACAAAUAAGAUUCACAUGCACAUGCUUCCAUAUGGAUCCGCAGUCAGAAAGUUUGAAUUUCGAUCUGCAAUCAGAAAGAAAUUCAUGCAGUCGCGAAGACUUAUAUAUUCAUUCCUACUUAUUUGACAGAAAACUAAUUUUUGUUAUAUUCCUACUUGUGCAUCACCUGCAACCAUCUUUUAAUUUACACAAUAUUUAUUGUUGUUAGUAUAUAUGUUGAUAAUUAAGCUUAAUUUUUUUAAUUUUUAAUUUUUAUUAUUAGUGAAUCGUUGGUGUGCUGCAGAUUUGUACCAG
Molecule: long non-coding RNA, 5945 nt
Filed under: Panax ginseng (ginseng)
Lineage: Eukaryota; Viridiplantae; Streptophyta; Magnoliopsida; Apiales; Araliaceae
Description: long non-coding RNA (PGIN_LNC013509)
Source: RNAcentral